Molecule: long non-coding RNA, 1711 nt
Organism: Gambusia affinis (western mosquitofish)
Lineage: Eukaryota; Metazoa; Chordata; Actinopteri; Cyprinodontiformes; Poeciliidae
Exons: 3
Source: RefSeq, a predicted model, not a curated record
UCCAGCUUAAUUCGUCACACCUGAGCUUGCAGAAGCAGAUAGUAUCCGAUGAUUUGCACUUUUAUGCUAAUAUUAACUUGGUGGGUUAGCCAGUUAGCUUGGUUUAAUUAGCUUGUUUAAGUUAGCUUGUGGACAAAUGAAGGUAGACGACGUUCUUCUUUGAAAGCUUAUAUUCAGAAUAAGUUGUAUUGUAUUGUUUUCAUCUCGAGUUAGACUAAAAGUAUAUACCUUGAAAAUAGCUUUUCUUACAUUUUUAUUUCUCUCGGGAUAGCCUUACGGAGGAGAUCGGAAGAGAAAGCGGCAUUCACGUUCAUGAUUUUGAACGUUUUGAUAAGGAAGCCAAGGGGUCAGGGUGAGUUUGAAUCGCAUGUCAGGAUUGCCCCCACACUGACCUGCGCCUGACUGGCCUUCCAGCAAAAAGCCCCUGUGAAGCAGAAAGCAAGGAGGCCCGGCGCUGAUGGGAAGGUGAAAACAUCCUCUUCCUCCUCCUCCUCUCUCCUUGCUGAACAUCUGUCUCCUCGGUGUUGGCUGCACCACCGACUCUGACACCUCCAGAUGGAAAGCCUGCUGGGAGCGCUGAGGUAUUACCUCCAGAGAUGGCAGGGAUCACACCCCUGGAAAGAAGUCCCACACUUGCUUUCUGUGCCGGCUGCUUCUUCUUUUUUGCUGUUGUUGUUGUUGUUGGAUCUGUCACUGCUCUCCAUAUCCGUUGUCACUUCCCCCCCCAGCCCUGCCCUCUGCCUUUGUGACUCAUCUGAUGAGCAGGCUUUGGGCCUUGUUAAGAAAUGCAUGACAUCAAAUGUCUGAGCCCUUCUUCUAAUUUACAGUAAUGGGUCGUAUGGUAUUUCAACUGUAAAUUCUAUUCAAGGAACUGAAUUAAUAUUUAAUAUAGUUGUGAAAGAACUGCAGGCUCAUGCAGAUGUAUUUCAAACGGCCGCUGAUUUCCAUUUCCUAAAUGCCUGUUUUCCCGACGCCUUAAAAAGAUUAAAGUUCACACAAUCUUGGUCAUGGCCCAAAAAAAUAAAAAAAUAAAAGCUCCCGUACAGUUUAUUAGUGCGAAUAUUAGAAGCAAUACCUGUGAAAAUCCAGAGCGUAAAAGCCUGGGAGUUUGCUUCGCCAGAGCCACUCUGCCGUCUUGACAGAUGGACUCUGCAUUCAUUUGUGCCUGAACUCUGAGUGAACCUCAGCGUUGGAGAAGAAGGGCAUCAACAGGCCAGAGCUGUUGGGGCAGAAACUGUGUGUGCAAACCCAUCACCCAGAGCAAAUAUUGAAACUGUGCCUCCCUUUACAAUGAGAGGAAACAAGGUGGCCAGGUUCUGGGAGCCACAAUAGCCACUGUUUUCGUUUUCAUUUUCAAAAUAACAUUUCACUUACAUUCGGUCAGAUAGAAAUAGAUCUGUCGUAAGAAGUGUCCGAGUUGAAUUUGGGUAACAAAUCAAGAGUGAGACCCGACUUCCUGGAGUUUGUUGUCAUGUUUAAAGCCCCUGGAGGUAUUUUGAGGUGAAAAGGUCACUCAGAACCACCCCGUGGGUUGUGAGAGAUUCCUCUUGUCACAUUAUGCAAGCUGACAUGGUCGGAGUCAAAUAAAUUCAAAAUCUACACAACAAAUUAGAGAUGUGCCAAUCAGGCUUUUACUGGCUAUUACAGAUAUCUAGUUUCUGGUCAGAGGAAAGCAGAAAUCAGAUUUUUUUUUUUUUUUUUUUUUUUUUUU